AUCAGGUAUAAUAAAUUAUCCUUCAGACCGCGGGACUUACGCUCCCCCAGCUCAUCGAUCCACCGCGCUAUGUAGAGCGGCUCCCCCCAAUCAACGAAUUGAUUGGCGAGAGUCGCUCCGGUUCACGCGGCUUCACAAAUCCUCAAGGUCACGCGUUCGGGAUGGGAAAACGUGGCCAUAAUUUCAGACCACGCUGCUACGGGGGGGGGGUGCAUGCUUUUCCUUUGACAGGUGACCACGUGACGCCUCCGAAAGAAGAUGGCGACGACACGCUAACGGGCACCUGUCGCCGGGGGUGACAGCGCUAGGUGAAGAAAGAAAGAUGGCGCUGACUCACCGCUUCAUCUCCGCACAGUCUCCUAUCCUGUUACCAGUCAUACGCGCGCGCCUCUGGCAGCAUGUGGCGUAUUUUUCACUACUGCAGCGUCCUCAUCAGCUGUUGUGCAGUAGAGUAGUUCCUCCACUAUCAGGUGUGUACCGAGUUCUACUCUCAAAAUAUGCCAUCUUGUACUUAUGGCAUACGAUGUGAAGUGAAUAUGAUCAAUAUAGUGGUGCUUGAAAUGGUGGUUUCCAUUUGACAAAAACAAUUACAAUACUCUCACCUGAUUCUCUCGGUCUGUAAAUAUCUACAACCAAUCAUUUAUUGCCUGAUUCAACCAUUGGAUACUUGCUUCCAAUAAAUUAAAUUCCUCUCAAAAUGUGCUCCGAUAGAUUAAUCUCAUUCGCUCAAAUAUUUGUGAUAAAUAUGAUGGUUUCACUGGAACAGUGAAAAAUUAAUCAAAGAUGGUCAGAUUCGACCUUGAAGGACUUUGGAACCAUUAAGGAUACAGUUAUCAACAUUCGAGAUGAUUUUGUGGAGUAUUGGCCGUAUCGCGAUGACACAAAGAACUGAACACGCCACGAUUGCGAAAUCAAAAGUAACAAAUGUAAUUGACAAUAAAAAUGCAAUUCUUCACUAUUUGUCAACAAAUAUGUGCUCAAAUACCGCAGUAAUGCACGAUUACUUUAAAUUAUUCCAAUAAAUCUGAAUAUUCCAUGAACAAAA
Molecule: long non-coding RNA, 1045 nt
Organism: Athalia rosae (coleseed sawfly)
Lineage: Eukaryota; Metazoa; Arthropoda; Insecta; Hymenoptera; Athaliidae
Exons: 2
Source: RefSeq, a predicted model, not a curated record